RNAcentral lists this ribosomal RNA (666 nucleotides) under Bacillus tequilensis. Its description in RNAcentral is "bacterial SSU rRNA". It matches the Rfam family "Bacterial small subunit ribosomal RNA", at positions 362 to 1021 of the family's 1533-position model. Lineage: Bacteria; Bacillati; Bacillota; Bacilli; Caryophanales; Bacillaceae. The record is from RNAcentral.
ACUUCCGCAUGGACGAAAGUCUGACGGAGCACGCCGCGUGAGUGAUGAAGGUUUUCGGAUCGUAAAGCUCUGUUGUUAGGGAAGAACAAGUACCGUUCGAAUAGGGCGGUACCUUGACGGUACCUAACCAGAAAGCCACGGCUAACUACGUGCCAGCAGCCGCGGUAAUACGUAGGUGGCAAGCGUUGUCCGGAAUUAUUGGGCGUAAAGGGCUCGCAGGCGGUUUCUUAAGUCUGAUGUGAAAGCCCCCGGCUCAACCGGGGAGGGUCAUUGGAAACUGGGGAACUUGAGUGCAGAAGAGGAGAGUGGAAUUCCACGUGUAGCGGUGAAAUGCGUAGAGAUGUGGAGGAACACCAGUGGCGAAGGCGACUCUCUGGUCUGUAACUGACGCUGAGGAGCGAAAGCGUGGGGAGCGAACAGGAUUAGAUACCCUGGUAGUCCACGCCGUAAACGAUGAGUGCUAAGUGUUAGGGGGUUUCCGCCCCUUAGUGCUGCAGCUAACGCAUUAAGCACUCCGCCUGGGGAGUACGGUCGCAAGACUGAAACUCAAAGGAAUUGACGGGGGCCCGCACAAGCGGUGGAGCAUGUGGUUUAAUUCGAAGCACGCGAANAACCUUACCAGGUCUUGACAUCCUCUGACAAUCCUAGAGAUAGGACGUCCCCUUC